Molecule: ribosomal RNA, 251 nt
Filed under: uncultured bacterium
Lineage: Bacteria
Description: partial 16S ribosomal RNA
Rfam family: Bacterial small subunit ribosomal RNA
Source: RNAcentral
GAUCAUGGCUCAGGACGAACGCUGGCGGCGCGCCUAACACAUGCAAGUCGAACGGGGUUAUAUAAGAAGCUUGCUUUGAAUAUAACCAAGUGGCGGACGGGUGAGUAACGCGUGAGGACCUGUCUCCGGCAGGGGGACAACAUUUGGAAACGGAUGCUAAUACCGCAUAAGCCGAGAGGUGAAAGGAGCAAUCCGGCAGGAGAGGGACUCGCGUUCUAUCAGCUAGUAGGCGGGGUAAAGGCCCACCUAGG